UACGGGGGGGGCAAGCGUUGUUCGGAAUUACUGGGCGUAAAGGGCUCGUAGGCGGCCAACUAAGUCAGACGUGAAAUCCCUCGGCUUAACCGGGGAACUGCAUCUGAUACUGGAUGGCUUGAGUUCGGGAGAGGGAUGCGGAAUUCCAGGUGUAGCGGUGAAAUGCGUAGAUAUCUGGAGGAACACCGGUGGCGAAGGCGGCAUUCUGGACUGCAACUGACACUGAAAGACGAAAGCCAGGGGAGCAAACGGG
RNAcentral lists this ribosomal RNA (253 nucleotides) under uncultured bacterium. RNAcentral's name for it is "partial 16S ribosomal RNA". It matches the Rfam family "Bacterial small subunit ribosomal RNA", at positions 524 to 776 of the family's 1533-position model. The record is from RNAcentral.